RNAcentral lists this ribosomal RNA (292 nucleotides) under uncultured bacterium. RNAcentral describes it as "partial 16S ribosomal RNA". It matches the Rfam family "Bacterial small subunit ribosomal RNA", at positions 505 to 796 of the family's 1533-position model. The record is from RNAcentral.
GUGUCAGCAGCCGCGGUAAUACGUAGGUGACGAGCGUUAUCCGGAUUUACUGGGCGUAAAGCGCUUGUAGGUGGCUCUGUAAGUUGGGCGUGAAAACACCGGGCUUAACUCGGUGACGCCGUCCAAUACUGCGGGGCUGGAGGAUGUCAGAGGAAGGUGGAAUUCCUGGUGUAGUGGUGAAAUGCGUAGAUAUCAGGAGGAACACCCGUGGCGAAGGCGGCCUUCUGGGGCAUUCCUGACACUGAGAAGCGAAAGCUAGGGGAGCAAACAGGAUUAGAAACCCCCGUAGUCC